AGUGAGGUUAGGUGUGAAAUCGGUGGAGGGAAGGAUUUGCAUGGUGGCGGGACAGGUAUUGUGGCCUUGGGAAAGCCAAGUUUGAAUGGAGCUACGAUCAUAUGUGACGCCGGUGCAGAGACUUACCGGAGACUUCAUUACGUCCAUUGAUAUCGGACAUCGGAAAAGGCUCGGAACGGUAACGUUUAAUUCUUCUCUCCUAUUUCUCAUCAUUUUUUGCUAUCCUUUCUAUUUUCUGCCUUGUGGGAAUAAUAUAGCUAGUUAUGUGGACGGUGAUUGUGCUUAUAAAAGGGAGAGUCAAAGUGGAAAGUGGUGACGUCGAUUUGGUCAACUAUAUUGGGUUUGUUUAAGUAAACAAGUGGAUUUCUUUUCAUAUGCAGCUAAGAUAAUGCGCUGUUUUUUAAGUGCAUUGCACACUAUCUUUUUUUUUUAAAAAAAAAAUUUCUCUUGGUUUAUUUAUUUUCUUGUAAGAUUAUUAAAAACGUGCAGAUGUGACAUGAAUGUUACUCCCUUCCGGUCUAAUUUGAUCGAAUAUAAAAUUUAAGAAAAAAGAAAAAAAGCUUUUAAAACUAGUGAUAUUAAAUCUGCCAUAAGAUUUUUUUAGUCCAUAAAAACAUGUCAUCUAGGAUAAAAUAAGAAUUUUAAAAUUAAUUUAUUUUAAAUAUAAAAAUAUGUAGUCUUUGUCAGUUAAAUUUACCCAAAUAUUCGAAAAGGUAUAUAUCAAGGACCAAAAUAGUUCCGCCCCUAUAUAUUAUACCCCUUACUUAAGGACCACUUUGAUCAUUUUCUCCAAGAAAGUCCGAUCAAUCUUUUAUAAUGCUUUUUGAGAUCUUAUUGUUGUAGGUAUGGAGAAGUUUAAGAAUAGAGAUUAUAUGAAGUGAAGAAAAAGGUACAUAUGUUAGGGAGCACUCAAUCAAUUGCCACUAAUUUUAUCCAUAUUAAUCAAAGAAUUGAUCCACAUCAAGUACAAUUAUGUAUGUUAAUUAGUGGGCUUAACAAGGUCCCUUUAAUUAUUAAUAAUAUAAUGAUAGACAUAAGAUGAUUAGGAAGUAUAUAAGAAUAUAGGGUAAGCGUGUAAAACGGGACAGGGGACAGCGAAGUCCAAGUUUUCGGGUUUGUUCAAGUGGAGCCUACACGUUGAAAUGAAGGGGCAUGAUUUUCUUGGUUUGAUUUUAGUAAGUCAAAGUGUCAAACACUUGAACUGUGGAACUCUGCUUUGAUUUUCAUGUUUAUUUUACUUUCCACGUAAUUGUCGAUGUAUGCUUUAAAGUUUAAGGGCUUAAGUUGUAGAAAUUGAUAGUGUUUAUUAGUUUAUAUAAUAUCAAAUUAAAUUAACCUAAUGACAAUAAAUAACUCUUCAGGAAAUUUGUUCAACGAUUUCAGUGUUAUGAAAAGUCACAACUUGCGGCAUUCUUUACUAACUUAACUAACUACCAGUUACCAUAAUAAUGAUCCUAAAUCUAGCUCCAACCCUUGGUCCGAAAUACAUCGGCAUUAAACUUAAUCAAGAAGGCAUAUAUGAUAGUAUUAGAGAUUAUAAUAGAACUUAUAAUUUACAUACAAUUACUAAUCUGACAUAAAGAAAUUUCUUCAUCUCUAUCCAAAAUAAGGUUGCUUGAAACUGAAGGAAGAUAUAUGUUAGACCAUAUAGACAUAUGGGUGUCUUUUCACUUAGUUUCACCUUACCAUACGGUAGCAUCUACUCUCUCUUCAAUUUUGUGUGAACUUCCACCCUAACUACACAAAGAUAGAGGAAUUAAUGUUUUAUGUCACAUGAACCUCCAUCGUACAUUAUGAAUACACUGCAUUAUUACAGACCGCACGUCUCUCUCUCUUAAGUUUUAAUAUUUUUUUCUAUAUUUCUUCGUAUUUAAUGCAUAUACUAGAACAUUUUUGGUUCAUGGAUGGAGUAAAUAUCUCCUGUACCAAGUGGCAAAGGAAUUAAAUAAAGAAACAUAAUAAAAUCAACAAAAAACUUACUCAUACGAUCACACUAUAGUUUUUACGUCAAAUCAAUGCACACGAAAAAUAUUUUUCACAGAUAACAAUUAUUGCUUAACUAUGAUAUGAGUAUUAGUUAAUCAGAUAUGUAUACUCACUUUAGUUUGUAAUUGUUAAAGUCAAAUUAUACUAUUUAGAAUGUAAACACUGAGUGUGGUUAAGUAUUUUCUGUAAAACCAACUAGAAAGGAAGGCACACAGGGGAUAGGNNNNNNNNNNNNNNNNNNNNNNNNNNNNNNNNNNNNNNNNNNNNNNNNNNNNNNNNNNNNNNNNNNNNNNNNNNNNNNNNNNNNNNNNNNNNNNNNNNNNNNNNNNNNNNNNNNNNNNNNNNNNNNNNNNNNNNNNNNNNNNNNNNNNNNNNNNNNNNNNNNNNNNNNNNNNNNNNNNNNNNNNNNNNNNNNNNNNNNNNNNNNNNNNNNNNNNNNNNNNNNNNNNNNNNNNNNNNNNNNNNNNNNNNNNNNNNNNNNNNNNNNNNNNNNNNNNNNNNNNNNNNNNNNNNNNNNNNNNNNNNNNNNNNNNNNNNNNNNNNNNNNNNNNNNNNNNNNNNNNNNNNNNNNNNNNNNNNNNNNNNNNNNNNNNNNNNNNNNNNNNNNNNNNNNNNNNNNNNNNNNNNNNNNNNNNNNNNNNNNNNNNNNNNNNNNNNNNNNNNNNNNNNNNNNNNNNNNNNNNNNNNNNNNNNNNNNNNNNNNNNNNNNNNNNNNNNNNNNNNNNNNNNNNNNNNNNNNNNNNNNNNNNNNNNNNNNNNNNNNNNNNNNNNNNNNNNNNNNNNNNNNNNNNNNNNNNNNNNNNNNNNNNNNNNNNNNNNNNNNNNNNNNNNNAUAUAUAUAUUGCAUUUUAUCUUGACCGAGGAGAAGGCAGAAUGGCUGUUUGCUCUUGUCUGUUUUGGUGGUUCAUUCAAUUAUCAUCAAAAUAAGUUGAUUAACAGGAUUCUUAUAACGUCACACAUCAAGAAUAAAUUUGAUACAUCAUAUCACGAUUCAUGAUGCAAACUUUAUCUUAAUAUUUGCAACCAAAAUAUGAAGAUAUUAAUAAAUUUUCAUAUAUAGGAUCGAAAAUUUUUAUCACUAGUUGUAUGAGGCCUUUUUUUUGUCUCACCAUUUUGUGGACCCAAAAGUGUAAGAUUGGAGUCAACAAAUUUGUGAGACAAAAAGGAGUCUCACACAACUGAACUAAUGUGUGAGGCACACAAUAAAACUUUUCGGAUCGAAAAUUUUUAUGUAUACUUCUUUAAACGACUUAAAAAAAAACAGUGCGAGAAAUUCAAUUUUAAACUAGUAUAAUCAGGACCAAAAUGUAAACGCGACCCAAGUUAACUUGUCUUGAUUCCCAAAGAGCUACUCGAAAUUUGAAAGGUUAUCGUCCUCCUCCUUUUUAAAAAAAAAUAAAUUGUUUGUUCUUUCUUUCUAACAUUUUGUAAAUUUUCUAGUCAAAAGGCGAUACAUGUUUUCUCGUAAUCAUGUUCGAAUCGACUUCUAAUCAUUUCAAAACUUGAAGAAAAUUAAUGUAUUUGCGUGACAAAGACGACUAUAAUCUAUAGACAAGUUUUCAACGAAUGGACGUAACGAUACAGACAGUAAAGCUUUUUAAAUUCCAAAUUGUGAGUUUCAGUCUCCAGAAAUAGUCAAACAAAUACUACAAAGAACUGUUCUUAGAUCCCUAGUCCCUAGACUUUUUAACAAUUGCAAGGUUAGCCCCUCUACUGGUUAUAUAAGAUCAUUUCAUUAUCUAUAUAUUAUCUACAAAAUGUGAGUUCACUAAUUUAGAUGAAGAAAUUAAGGAAUUAAAACUUAAAAGACAAGGCCAUUUCCUCUUUUUGGUGCUGCAGCCUGCAAGUAUGAGUUAGUCAAUAAGGUUAUAGAAAUUUCAGACAUCUAAUAACGUGGGGAAAAUAAUAGGGAUGACUUUUUUGUAACUUUUGGGGUAUUAAGCGAAGUGCCCAAAUAGUUGCAGAAAGUAGUAAUAAUAUUAUAAUAGUGGAGUCGCAGUUCCUUGUUGAAUUUCAAACUAGUAUCUUGGGCUAGAAGGUUUCAAACUUGGUGGGGGAAAAAACAGAAGAACAAUGAGUGCGUGUUUAGCGUGGGAGUGUGUGAAUAUUUGAAAAUCACUGUUCCUUGAAAGACAAAAUAUGAGUAUGUGAUAUGUCUGAUUCUUUGUGAGACUAUGAGGUUCAUUGACUUUGACUAAUUAGCAGUCCAAUCCAAUUUAGUCUAGCUUCUUGGAUUAUUCAAUCCGCGGAUUGCUGAUUCACACCUAAUCCAGACUCUCCUAAAUUUCUUGCUCCUAAAAUAACUUGAGAUUAUGUUCUGUCUGAUUAUCUUGCUCCUAAAUAUAACUUGAUUUUAUGCUCUUUGCGUUGAGAGCGCGCAAAAAUCCAUAUCGUGCAUAUGGUAAUCUAGAAAUAAGAGUUUAAAUUCUAUGUAAAAAAUAUUUAUAUAAUUCUUGCUAAUAAAUUCUUGCAUGACCUGCCAACGUAACCAAUCUCAUUAAAAUUGUGACUCUCUACUGAGGAAUGUUCAAUUUCCUCACCUAGUUAGGAUUUUAUUGGUUCAUUAGCUCCUUCAUUUCUUUUCUUUUUUGGCCUAUUUUAUAAUUCAGUUGCUUUGCUAGUAAUAUGAUUUCUCUGUCCUAUAUAUGCAAUUAUGUUUAUGCCUUUAUCAGUAAUCCGUUACGGGCACAAUACUAAAUUGAUCUGGAUCACACCUUUGAUGCUUCCUGUUUAUGGUUUGUUGAAAGAGUUAAAAUUACAUAUACUAAUGAUUUUAUACAAGUAGGCAAAUUCACGAUUUUAGGAUUUCAUUCAUUCUAUUUUUUAAGUUAUCACAUCAGGCUUGAUAUAAAAAUAUUCUUACAAGUCAACUUAAGCUCAUAGCCGACAAAGUAACUCUAAGUUAUCAUCAGGAGCAGAUCCAAUCCUAAUCCAAUAUUUUUAACACAGUGUAGAUUUUUAUGUGAAGACUUACAAUAAUUUCAACAAAUGCGUAUAAGAUUUGAACCCAUAAUAUUAAAAUCUGUGACAUCCUAUUCUCUACAGCUAUAAGUUCUUCCAAACAAUUUGGCCAAAAAAUGUCCUAAUCUCCUGAUCUCCACUCCUUUUCUGAAAUCUGCACAUGAGUUUCUCCUUUCUAGUCAGCUUCCCACAGCAGAUCAACUUUUUUCCCUUAAAUCUGAGUUUGAAGUUGGAACACAUAUGCCUGACACAAUUUUUUCUUUUGCAAAAGCAAUCCCUGAAAUAAGAAAGUUACAAACUUUUAGCAUAAUUUUUCAAGUAAUCAGGAUUAACAGUAGACAAAUAAAAAAUAUGACAUUAAUUAAUAUCCAGCUCUAUUUGUCCUGUCUACCUAUCUGAUCUAUGAAAGAUUCUUAGAAACAAUUGUGCAAUUCUUUGUUAAUACCUCCUGUAACUGCUGCCAUAAAUUUAUCUCUUAGUGGCCUGUAACCUAAUAUGUAGCCUUCUUUAAAUUCUGAAAACAUGACGAAUUCAAAUUGUGAAUUGACACUAAUCUCAUGCUAAAAUACAGCUCAGCCGAGUUUUUGCUUCAACAGUAGUAUGUUACAAAACUGCCUUAUAUAGCCUGUUUGGCCAAAAAAAAAAAAAUUAAAGUUGAAGUGUUUGGUCAAACUUUUAGAAAAAAAUAAAUAUUUUGAGGAGAAAUAAAAGCAGUUUUGGAGAAGCAGAAAAAUGUGGCUUCUCUCCAAAAGCACUUUUGAGAAAAAUACACUCAGAAACAGUUUUUAAAAGCUUGGUCAAACACUAAUUACUGCUCAGAAGUGUUUUUCAAAUAAAUUAGCCAAACACAAACUGCUUCUCACCAAAAGUACUUUUGAAAAAUACUUAUAAAAAUAAGCCGAUUUUUGAAGCUCGGCCAAACAGGCUAUUACUAUCAUUGAAUUUUUUUACCGUGGCUACUAGUUUUACACUCAGUAAAAUAUAUUUCCAUAACUUCGUGUAAUGAGAUGCAUAUUAUGAACCAUGGGAAACGUUAGAACCUAGGCUUCAAAGUUGUAAUUUCUCCUCGCCAAAUUCCAAGAAAGGUGAUAAAGUGUCAUCAGAGUAGAAGCCAAUAAUCCAAUAUAGAAAACAAAAUCCCAAAAGCUAAAUCAGACAAAAGGCCAGAUUUGACAGAGCAUGCAAAGAAACUUAACAAGUGGAAUGGAAGAUCCAAAGAUGAAACCAGAACAAUGAUGCCUUCUAUUAGUUCUGUUAUCCUUAAAUAUUUACUCUGUAUGUAACUAUGCUUUUACUAGUAGUGUCAAGCAGAAAGUAAUUUCAUAAUGAAAGCAGCAUGCUGGCGGUUAGGAUCGGGAAUCCGGGUAGUGUGGAAUUUAGCCAAACAACGAUAUAACGAUAAUAAUAAAGACAAUGGAAGUUGAUAACAACGAUAAUUAAAGCAUAUAAAGAAGACAUAAAUUUAACGUGGUUCGGUCAAAGUGACCUACGUCCACAAGCGGAGAAGAGCAAUUUCACUAUACCAAUAAGAGUACAAAAUUAGAGUAAAUACUCUAAUUAAUCCCAAAUACCCUAAGAGAAGAACCUUACAAGAUCACUCCAAAGAAAGGGUUCACACAAGUGCUUCCCAAUACUUAACUCCCAUACAAAACACUCUUAAUAAAUGAGGAAAGGAAAAAACAAAAAAUGAAGACUCAAGUCUUGUUGGUGUGUUUAAAAUUAACUAAUGGAGAUGUAAAAGAAGAGAUACAACUUGUGCAAAUGAUGUCCACCACACAAUGCAAUAUUUUUGGGUCCCAAAGAAUAUUGCCAACAAAGUCUACACUUAGCAAAGAUACUUAUGCUUAUGUGAGAUGGACUCCAUUAGCCAAAAUAUUGACCAUAUUACAAAUCUCCACCUUGGCCUAAUUUUGAUUAAUAUAGUAAAUUUGCUCCACCCUCUCCGCAAAAGCCCUAAUGGGCAUAUGUUAAAAUUUAACGCCAUCAAAAUCAGACAAGUUGUCUGAUACCGAAACUGUAGUAGGGCCAAUAACAGUGGAUCCCAAUAAAGUAUACAACGAACCAGAUCUGUGUGCUUUCAUAAUCACAAGAGCACCAUGAGAAACUUUCAGAACUCCACCUUCACUUGUGUACUUGCACCCAAGAGAUUCUAGAGUGCCCAAAUAGAUGAGAUUUUUCUUCAAGUCAGGAAUAUGUCUAACAUCGGUGAGAAUUCUCACCACACCAUCGUGCGUUUUGAUUCGGAUUGUACAUUUUCCAAAAACUUUGCAGGCAUCCAAUAGAUUCAUAUGUAGUAAAUAAAUCCCAAUUUGGACACAUAUGAUAAGAGCAACCCGAAUCUAAAAUUCACUCAUUAUUAGAUUUGAAACUAUUAUUAGUUGCUAAAAAAACAGUUCCCUCAGUCUCAUCAGCAGCUAUACUUGCUUCGGCAGUGUCAGUAUUUUUUUGCUCAUUUUUCCUUUCCUUAUGCUUUUCUUUAUUUUUCAGCUUAUAGCAUUCGGAGAUAAUGUGACAUUUCUUAUGACAAUAGCGACACUCUAAAUUAUUGUAUCUAGAUAUGGAAUCGGAUUUGCCCCUAACAAACAAGCCAACUUCCGCUUGAGUUCCACUAGCUUCCCCAGUAAUACUACUAUCUAUCUGUUCUUUUGAUUUUAAAUAUAUUUAAUAUCCUUAUAAGAGAUAUUAUCCUUUGCAUAAAUCAUAGUAUCUCUUAUAUGCUUAAAAGAUUGGGGUAGAGAAUAAAGCAGUAACACGGCUUGAUCCUCAUCUUUAAUUUCAGCAUCUAUAUUACUCAAAUUCAUAAGAAUGGAAUCAAAGGUGUAAAGAUGAGAGAGAAUAUAGGUACCUUCACCCAUACGAAUUGUAUAAAGCUUCUGCUUCAGGUAAAGUCUAUUUUCCACCAUCCUCUUCAUAUAUAAGGUUUUUAAUUUUUCCCACAUACCUUUUGCUGUGGUUUCUACAGAAACUUCACGUAAAACCUCAUUUGAGAGAUUUAAGAUGAUACCUGAUUUUUUCUUUUUAUCUAUGAUGGCAAACUCCUCGUCUGUUGUGAGCACCUAAUUUUUGCCCUAAUAUAAAAUUACUCAUAAAAGAUUCCAAAAAUAGCUUUAAAUUAUUUCUUUUAGUUUUUACUUAGUUUGCUUUGUACGUAUUCAUGUUUGAUGCAUUUUUUAAGUUGCAUUUUAAAUCCUAAAGAAAAUAUAAAAAAUAUUUUGAAUUUUUAUAUUUUUUAAAUUUUAAUUGCAUAAUCAAUUGCAUUUGUAAAAAACUAAAAUACCAAAAAAAAAUAUACAUUAGUAACUCUACUUGCAUUCUUAGGUUAGUUAAUUAAUUAGGUCAUUAGUCAAUUAGUGAGUAAAAUAUAUAUAAUAGUUUAGCCACACAAAUUGAUUUAGUCAAGCCCAUCCCUUUAGAAGCCCAAUUUUCAUGACCCACCUGGCCCAACCGGAUCCCCCCUUCUCUUUAAGACACCCCAUUCUCCCCAACCCUAAAAAAAAAAGAUCGGAGAAGAUCAGGAGAACGAUCAAAAAUAGACCCUCUCCACUUUGAGAACCUAGGCAGCGGCGCCCACCAAUUCUCCAAUCACUCACAUAUAAACACACACGCACUCACGUACAUGAACAUGGAGGGGAAACGGACGGAAAAGGGAUAGAGAUUGAGAGGGAUUAAUUCUUUUUUUUUAUAGAUAGAGUCAAAAGAAAGAAACGGGCAGAAGGAUCAUUCUCCUUUAGAAUCAUUCUCUUCUUUAGAGCAAGCAAACCUUUCAAUCCUUCCCAGAAAAUCCUUCUUCUUUCACUUAUGAUUAGUUUCAUCUUCUAAAAUUUGCAACUGAGAAAAUCCAUAAAGAUUCAUAAUCGGUGCUCCGGCGACCUUUCGGGUUUGUUUCUUCGAAAACAGAACUUUGAUCGAGUAUUCCAGUCUAAGCGUAGAAGGUCGAUUUGUCGUCGGCACGGGGUUCUGUUCGAUAUUCCGUCGUGUUCGUGUCCCUGUUAGCUUCUUUGGUCGUUGCUCAAUUUUUCGGCUGGAUUCUCGUCGCUUUUCAACUUAACAGAGCUAUAAAUUCAGAGUUCUAUUAAUUGAAAAGAAAUCUGCUCACUAAGAAGCAGAGAUUCCGAAAUUCAAAACUAAGAAAAAUCGAGAUUUGGGGUUGAGAUUUUGGGAACCCUUGCCCAGAUUUUAAAGCUGCUGAAGAUUACUGUCGUAGCUGUUUCUGUUUUGCUGAGCUUCGGUCGAGUUUUGCCGUUGCCUUUAGUCGGUUUAUUCGAGUUUUCUUUGUUCAACCAGGUUAGUUUGAAACUUCUCUGUAUUAUGCUUUUUUUAGUAAAUGAUUAAACAAUUGAGUUCUUGCGUAAAUUUGAAGAUCCGCUCGAUUCCUGAUUUUUGUUAUUCUUAUGUGUAAUGGAUGCUCAUUCCUCAGGUUAUUAGUGACUUUCUGCUAUUAUUUUGAUUUGGUGUUUACCUCUAUUUUUAACCGAAAUUUUGUGUCGUAUCAUUGCUGUAUAUUUCAUGUCCUAAUGGUCCUCAAGUGUUAGUGAAUACCGAGAUUCUAUAUUUAUUAUAUCAAUUCGUUUUGUUGAUUUCCUUGAAAAAGAUGCACAAAUUUUCAUGUGUUUGUCAUGCCUCCAUUAAUUGAUUUAGGUAGCUAAAUUGGAGAUUUAAUUUAGUGAUUGUUGAAGUGUAAAUAGAGCUUUGCCUUCAAUGGCUCAAUCGAGUGGGUUGUGGUUUACUUUUAAAGAACAGAACAGAGUUGGGCCUUCGGUAUAGUAUUUGGUCGAGAAAAUAUUUGGUUCAAAGGGAUCAUUUUAAUGAUUUUAAUGGUUUAGAGUAAGAAGUUAUUCAUAAGCUAGUCCGUCCCUUAUAGCUAGUAGAUAUCAAAAUGACAAAAAAAAAAAGAAUAGUUGUAAAUAUUUCUAAAUGUAGAUAACUUCUCAAUACUCUAAAUAAAUAAAAUAUUUCUUAACUUCCAAAUGCCCCUAUAUCCAUUAAUUAAUGACCUCACAACAAAUAUCAAAGUAAGUUAGCAAAAUAAACAACUCACGUACAUCGUAGUUUGCUUUAGGCGCGAUUAAUAAUAAAUCAUCGUGACUAUGGGUACGGUUCCCGUGGCAUGGUCACGAUACGUAAUCCCUAAUUCGAGUGUGCGUUUUACGUGACUCGACCAUAACUUUAAAUAAUAAUAAAUAAAAUUAAACACGUUGUAGAUUGCAGGUGCGUUUCACGUGACGUGAUUUGCGAUGUGUAUAAAAAUAAACGAGUGCGCGACAUCGCGACUUGUUCAAACAAACUCCAUAAACACUAAAAGCGGUUAAAAAGUAAAAUGCACAAUAGAUUUUAAACAUGUAAUAAUUCAGAUAAUCAAGCCAAGUAUUAAUUGUUAAGCGACCGUGCUAAAACCACGGAACUUGGAAGUGCCUCACACCUUCUCCCGAGUUAACAGAAUUCCUUACCCGGUCUUCUGUGUUCGCGGACUCUAAAAAUAGAGUCAAUUUCCUCGAUUUGCGAUUUAAAAUAAACCGGUGAUUUGGGACACCAUAAAUUAUCUCAAGUGGCGACUCUGAAAUAAAUAAAUAAUCUCAUUUCGAUUAAUGUCACUUAAAUUGGAAAAACUCCUUUAUUCCCCUAACUAUCCCAUCCCUUCGGAAAAAAGGAGGUGUGACAGUUGUCAUUUUAUCCGACUUCUUCUCCUUUCCUUGCAACGCCAAGUCUAAGCCAUCCUGAAUUAGGAUAGCUUCCAUCUUUAAUUACCACAUUCCGAAGUUUGCACUUCGGUUAAAUUUCUCAACAUAAGUCUUUGUUAGAGUCAUUUUGGCUAUUGAAACUAACCCAGUUAGAUCCGACUUUGAUAUUAAUUUGUUAGGAUCGAGAAUCCGGGUAGUGCGAAAUUUAGCCAAACAAUGGUAUAACGACAAUAAUAAAGACAAUGGAAGUUGAUAGCAACGACAAUUAAAACAUAUAAAGAAGACACAAAUUUAAUGUGGUUCGGUCAAAGUGACCUACGUCCACAAACGGAGAGGAGCAAUUUCACUAUACCAACAAUAGUACAAAAGAGAGUACAAAUUUAGAGUAAAUACUCUAAUUAAUCCCAAAUACCCUAAGAGAAGAACCUUACAAGAUCACUCCAAAGAAAGGGUUCACACAAGUAUUUCCCAACACUUAACUCUCGUACAAAACACUCUUAAUAAAUGAGGAAAGGAAGAAACAAGAAAUGAAGACUCAAGUCUUGUUGGUGUGUUUAAAAUGAACUAAUGGCCUUCCCUUUUAUAAGCAAAAAAGUUUUGGCCUCUUAGAUGUAAAAGAAGAGAUACAACUUGUACAAAUGAUGUCCACCACACAAUUCAAUAUUUUUGGGUCCCAAAAAAUAUUACCAACAAAGUCUACACUUUGCAAAGAUACUUAUGCUUAUGUGAGAUGGACUUCAUUAGCCAAAAUAUUGACCAUAUUACAGUGGCAAACAAACAGUCAUCGCAUAUCCCAUCUAGUAAUGGAAAUGGUGCACAUUACAAUUCAAAAAGGCUAAUCUUCAGACCGUAGAAAUAGCCAACUCUAUUCUUUUAAAGGAUUUGAACGAUUUCCAAGUUAGAGACACAAAAUAAUCAAAUUGGUACGUAGUCACUACGAUGAUUGUAUUGGUUAAAUAUUAUUGUGCAGUUAUUGUCCAAGUUUCACUGAAAAUUUGAGUAUGCACAAGUCCUUUUAAUUACUAGCUAAUACUAGUAGUAUAUAUGCCUAACCAAGAAAAUGUAUGGUCAUUAGCAAGGCGAUCGCGAGUAAUUUCAUCCUCGGAAUAAACAAGGUUGUAACUAAGAAGAAAUACAUACAUGUAGGAUGUAGAAUAUCACUUACUGUAUCAGCUUUACCACACAAGUAGCUCAACUCCAAUGCUAGUUUCUCCCUCAAAUUAAAGCCUCAUUAUUUUUAGGAGAGGAGAGGGGUUUAAUUUCUGUCCGCGUGACACGUAUAAGGUGAAGAUUUAUUUUACUGAUAAAAAUCGUCAACUUAGUAGUACUACUGUUAAUGUAGAAUAGAGGGUCGAAUAUUACAUUUCAUCUCUAUUUAAUUUUUAAAUGAUACAGUUUACUUGAAACAAAAUUAUACACUAGCAUAAAUUGAGGUGCGACUUAUAGUAGGAUUAAAUUAGCUAGAGUUACCAAGACGGAUAAAAACGUGCAUUUUUUCACUAUUCUAAAGAGCGAAGAUUGAAUGUAACAACAGAUAUGCAAGAUCCUAGGGGUAGCGUGCCCAACAAGACAAGCACUCCAAGGGGUUGGGGUUCGAUAACCCACUCGAUUUUUCACAUGCAAAUACCGUAAAAAUUGCACGAGGCGUCCUAUUUGAUCGCUCAUAUUUAACCUAUACCCAUAUUUUUAAAAUUUUUUAACUUAUACCCUAAUUUUGACAACUUUAGACGCCUUCUCUUCUUCCUCCUGACCUAUGCGCUCCUUUCUUCCUCCUCUUCUUUUCCUCUUCUUCUUUUCUCUCUCAAACACAUGAGACUUUGUAUAAGUAUUAUUGAUUGGAUCUGUAAAGUUUUUAUUAAAUCUUAUCAACUACCAUAUUCUAUGUUAAAGGACGUGUAAAUAAAACUCCACAAGCUGGUUAAAGUAGGUGUGAUUUGUGUCUUUCCCUGAUCUAUCCUUCUUAAACAUACAACAGCAACUGACUACUACAUGUCCUCUCUUCCAAGUUACCUGCCACAAGAAUGGCACACGCAUGUGAAAUUUAUUAUACACAAUAGUUGCUCUCGCGAUAUCUUGAAAUUAGCUUACACCUUACUUUAUGAUAUCAUCUGUAGGAAAAACGACAGAAAAGGGCUGCAGAACUGAAAAAUAAAAGAUAGGAAAAAUAACUUUAGAAUAUUAUAAAAAAAAUCAGUUAAAACUUCAUCACAAUUUGGCUUAAGUUAUAUUUUAAAGCCAUCUAACUUCAAAGAAAGGCAAAACACAACUUCAGCUCUAAGAAUGCUGAAGUUUAGCAAAUAUAAAACAAAAAUUUCAGUUCCUAGAAUGCUGAAGUUCAGCAAAUACAAAUAAAACUUCAGUUCCUAGAAUGCUGAAGUUCAGCAAAUACAAAACAAAACUUCAGCUCCUAGAAUGCUGAAGUUCAGCAAAUACAAAAUAAAACUUCAACUCCUAGAAUGCUGAAGUUCAGCAAAGACAAAACAAAAUUUCAGCUCCUAGAAUGCUGAAAUUCAGGAAUUACAAAACAAAACUUCAGCUCCUAGAAUGCUGAAGUUCAGCAAUUACAAAACAAAAAUUUCAGCCAAAACAUGCUGUAGUUUUAUUGAGGUGUAGUUUGCCAUUGUACUAUGAACUGAAGUUUGCGUGAUUGCCUUUGCAAGUCAGGCCAAACUUCAGGCAAAAAUAUCUGAAGUUUUGCUACACUUCAGGCAAAACAUUCUGAAGUUCAAACUUCAGACAUAAAAUUUUGCUACUUCAGGCUCGUAUGUCUGAAGUUACCCGAAAAGUGGGUACGCUUGUAAUUGAUUUUGCAAAGCGGGUAUAAGUUAAAAGUUGACCCAAAACUGGAUAUAGAUGCAAAUGCCCCGCAAGCACCCCUCUUCUUGUGGGCUAUUUCGGCCCAUUUCCUAGCCCUACAAUAUGUCUAAAUACUUGUACAAUAUUGCACCCGGUUGUCCUCUUAAGUAACUGAUCACUAAAAAUUAUUCUCAUUUUUAAAUUUAGGCUUUUUCUUCACUAAGGACAUCAGAAUUUUUUAACAAUAUUGAAAACUUAAAAUUCUUGUUUAGGGUAAAAUCUAGAAAUUAAUAAUUGACUAUUAUUAAAAUCGUUUGAAUAUUUAUAAUUUGUGCUUAAAGUUUUAGUUGAAUUCCUAAUUUAGUGAUUUGCUUUUAAAAAUUUUAAAACUACUGAUCCUUGAAAGUGUUGAUAAAGACAAAGUGGAUCUUCUUGAUUUGGUGUUAUUUGACAAAGUUGGUGAUUGGGGAUCAUUUAUGUUGGUAUUUGGAGGCUUUUAUUUUAAAUUUGAGAUCAUUUAGAGCAGAUUUGGAGUAGUUUGAUCGAAACUGAAAUUGCAAAUUUGAAGAACACUUUAUAACGCAACACAGAAAAAAUUAUGACAAUUUAUAGAUUUGGAUGAAUAAUUCAACAGAUAGGUCGAUUGCAGAUAACACAAAGUCAUGUUAAUCUAGUAGAGUUUGGUAAACAAUUGAACAAAUACAAAAUCAUACUAACAUGGCCGAGUUUGUGAAUAAUCUUACAAAUAUAUUAAUACAGGUAACACAAAGUCUUGUCACUAUGGUAGCGUUUCAUGAAUAAUUGAACAAACAUAAUGUCAUGACAACCGGGUAGAGUUUAUGAAUAAUUAAUAAUAUAGAUAGAGUAGAUAUAGAUAGGGUAGAGAAAUCCAAGACAAGUAAUAAACGUAUGUGGAUCUGGAGAUUUUUUUUAAAACAUUAAAAACGAUGACAUUAUUUAAAUAUCAGCACCUUACAGUUUGUUUGGAUGGUUGUUAUGUAUUGUUUCAUAAUGUAUCGUAUAUUAUUGUAUUUGUAUUAUACUGUAUCGUUUUGAUGUAUACAAUGUUUGGAUAUAUUGUAUUGUUUGACAUUGUUUCAUGAUGUCAUGCACCAAUAAUGUAAAGAAUAAACUUGCAAUAUUAUUUUAAGAAAAAUAACGUACGAGAUAAACUUAUUGUAUAAAAAAAUAGGGUAAAAGAUAAAAUAGGAUUAGUUUAUAAUAACAAGAUGAGAGAAAAAAAAUAAAGUAAUAACGUGUCUACACCAAAUAGAUCGUUCCAUAAAGUGGCACUUUUCACUUUUCGUUGUUACGUAAUAACAGAUUUAAUAAUACAAUACAAUAAAAUUCAAAUAACAAUCAAAACAUAUAUUGUAUUUAAAGUAACAAUAGGAUAUAAUACAACAGGUAACAACCAUCCAAACAAGUUGUUAAAAGGGUCAUUCUUGUCAAUCACACUCAAACAGACAAAUUGCAAAAAUAUCACCCGGUAUCCACUUAUCAGGUUGUUGUUUAGGUGUUAUCCAGCACUUACAAAUUAUUUAAUGUGUAGCCACAACUUAAAAACAAAAUAGAUGUUGUUUCUUCGUGUCCUAAAAUUCAAUUCUUUAGUUUAAAAUUUCACGACAGGAUGUCCUGAAGUUCGAUUUUUUAGUUCAAAACUUCAAGAUACUAUGAGUAUCCCGAAGUUUAGUUUUAUAGUUCAAAAUUUCAGGAUAUUGUGUUUUGAAGUUUAACGUUUCAGUUCAAAAAUUUAGAACAUUGUGUCUUUGAGUUCUGUUUUUCAAGUUUAGACUUCAGUGACGCUAUGUCCUAAAGUUUAACUUUUCUGUUCAAAACUUCAAGCCACUACGUCCUGCAGUUCGAAUUGUGUAGUUCAAGUUUCAAGCUUGUAUAUAUUUAUUUUACAGAAUAAUUAAAGCUAACAUUUUCAAGCUUUCAUUGUGAUUGGAAGAGGAGGAAUUCGAAUGAGUUUUGGGUCUUCGCAAUAAGAGAGAUAGCAAAAACAUUCGUUGUUGAAUGUGUAAGUAUGAAGUUGUGUCAAUUUUUGAAUUACUAGUGAAAGAAAAUAACUUUUUUUUUACAGAUAAUAUUAUGUACAAUGGGAAAAACAAUUAAGGGAUAUUAAAGAAGAAAAUAUAGAAAAAGAGAAGCACCAGAAAAAGUGAGAAAGAGAAAGAAGAGAAGCAGCUCAACUUAAAUGUCAAAUUUUCAUAGGGCACCCACUUUUGCGCCAUCCAUUGGAUUUGUACCCACUUUUCAAAAAAAGUUAAUUGAUACUCAAUUUUUGAAUAACUUAAUAUGCAUACACUUUUCUCUUCUUCUUUAUUGUUGUUUUCUUCUUCUUAAUUUGUGCUUGAGUUUCUUUUCUUCUUCUUAGUUACAAAAUGGCUUUGUUAAAUUUAUUGUUGUUUUGACAAUUUGAUGAUUGAUUUAUUUUUCAUGAUAUUUAAAAGUUAUGUUUCAAAUUUGAGCUCAUUUGGAGUAGAUUUAGGCAUUGAAUCGUGUAUUAGAUUGUUGAAAAUCGAAGAACAAGUUUUUGUUGCAGAACUUAAGAUUUGAAAUCUGAAGUUGCAUUCAAUAGAUUGAACUACUUAAGAUUCGAAUUUCUGAAUCUGCAUUUGAAAGAUAGAAGAACUUUAGAUUUGAUUUUUGAAGUUGUAUUGAAGAGGUUGAACUAUUUCAAAUUCGAAUUUCUAGAUAGAAGAACUUCAGAUUUGAUUUUUGAAGAUUGAACUACUUCAUAUCCGAGCUGCUACACUUUGCAAAAUUUUGUGCAAUACAAGUAUUACUUCAAUAGUGGCCCCAAAAAUGAGUAUAUUUGAAAAUGCCCCAACUUAAAUAGCAGCACCAAUGGCUAUCCGUGCACUUUCCCCAGACUUAUUUGGGCUUUGAAAAUUUGAGCUUCUUUGGCUGUUUUAUUUUGAGGGUAGCGAGGCCUUGAAUACGUAAAAGAGAAGGGAAGAGAUUUGUUGGAACGAAAAAACAGGCAGCAAAAAUUAUAUGAGUGACUUGCCAUGGUUAAAAAAGAAAAACCACUUGUCACUGAAUUUUCAAAUAUAUGAACUAUUCUUUUACAUAUGCGCCUUUAUAUUAAAUUUUAUCUUUAACUACAUCGUAAUCAAUACAAAUCCUCAUAUCAUUUUUAUAAUUUUAAAAGUGUAAUGAGCAAGUUCUAAUAUAUGAUAAUUCCAUUAUUUAAUUCGAUAUGGCUAAAUUCAUUUUCUCAUCAUAAAAAUAAUGUUAGUUCACCACAAUUAACUUGAAUAUCUUGGUGUCUUGGACUUAAAGAUCCAUAGCAGAAAAGAAAGCAGGAAGACAAACAAAAAGAUGAUAAUAUUAAUCUUUUCCUUUAAUUAUCAAGUUGAUUCACAUCUGUAUUUAUCAAAUCGAUUUAUAUCAAAGGGAAAGAAAAGGUAAUUUUUAUGUCAAACAAAAAGUAAUAAAUGGUUCGGACUAACUGUUAACUUAUUUAUACUAACCCUCCCUUUUGAAUUAAUUUAUUUAUACUUAAUAAUUUACAAUAAAUAUUUUAAAAUAUUUCCCAGUAAUGAAUAUCUAUUUUUUACAAAUUAACCAAGCAUUAGCUUUUAAAUUAAUCACAUAGCAUUGACAUUAUGUAAUUACAAAUAUAUUCACUAUUUUAGGAUUAUUAAAAUAAUUUCUAUACGUAAGUUCUAUAAUUAAUAAAUUACUCUUCAAUUUAUGGUUAAUUAGAUUACUACGUUAAUAACUCAAAAUUAGUAUUAUAAUUUAGAAGAAGAAAAAAACAAAGUAUUUUUAUAAAUAAUUGAUUGCAAUAAUUAGUAGUAUUUACUAAUUAUAAUAUUUACUAUAUUUUAUUGAAAAUAGUUUAAGUAUACUUAAAUUAAUUUCAAAAGGGUAAAAGGCUAAAGGGCUAUAAUUGUAACUCAAUUAAACAUAGGGUGACUAUUCUUUAAAUGAAUUUCAGCCCAAUUAUCAAGCCCAAAGCCAAAAUUUGACCCAGACCCAAUUCUCUUCUCUCCACCUUGGCAAUCUCCGUCACCUCUUCUGGACCAUUGAGAUCACGCCACAUCACCCGUAUCUCCCACUCACAAAGGAAACACAAACGAAUAUGGAUCGUUGGUCUAUCUAUCAACGGUCCGCAUUUAAUCUUUAUUUUUCUAUUUUUUUCUUUAGUCUUAUAAGACUCAAUCUCUGUCGUCCAAACCCAGAGAUCCGACGCCCCCUCAUAUUUCACCAUUUAAAAUGUUUUAAUCCUAAAAUAUUAGGACCUUUGAUCUAAAAGAUCAACGGCCCAAAUCAAUUCCCUCAUUCUUAACCUAGAGACCAGUUGGUCUCACUCAGAAACCCUAAUCAUUUCCCCACUCAUACGGCAGCCCUCAUUUCCUCUUUUGCUCUCUUUUCUCUCAAAUUGCCAUGAACAUCAAUCAACAAAACCUUGUACAAAUCCGUGCAAGGUCGUAAAAGCUCUCAUCAAAUCAUCCUUUCUUGCUAUCCUAGCCAGAAUCCUGCUGUUAUUUCCCCUUUUGUUCACUAAAUCUAGAUCAUUACAGUCUAAUCUCUUAAGCUUGAAACACCAUUCCGUCUUUGCUUUCAAAUCAAACUCAGAGAAUCACCCGUUUUGUCUCUGGGAUAUGAAGAAAGUUAUUUUCUUUCCAUUUUCGUUGAUAGAUAUUCAAAACCCCAAAUCCGAUAACCCUAGACCAAAUCGUGCAAGGGUCAAAUCUAUGAAAUCUCCUCUAUUUUGCUAAAUCUAUGGCAUGCAUGAACAUUUCUCAGGGUUAUCAUGAUUAUUCUUGGUCCAGAGGUCAAGCGAAGUGACCUCUGGACAUUAGUGCUCUUACCCGAUGGUUUUUGCCUUCAAAGGACUUCUCUCCUCUCAGGUAAACUCAUCAUUAUUCCCCCCUGUGUUCUAUGGUUUUACCUCUGCUUUGCUAUCAUCACUAGACCACAGUCUUUUUUCACUAUCUGAUUUGAAUCCUUUGAAACCCUAGAGGCUUCAAUAACCACUAUAAAUAGGAGCCUUCAAUUCUCUCACCUUGACACGACCAACCACCUAACACUGAAGAAAAUCACACACACAAACGAUAUCAGCCAUCUAUGAAAUUUUGAGUUCAAAGCCUUAGGUAUUCUUACUGUUUCCUUUCUUUUUAUUUGCUGAGUACUGUCGCUGGUGCAAGUUUGAGGUUUUUGGGGUCUUAAGAAAUUGAGAAAGAGCUCCCGUUUGGUCUGUUACUUUCAAAAAGAUCAGCAUAUCUCUCAUUCUUCACUUUUGUUCAUCUUUUUGGAUGCUACAAAUAUGAUCAUUAUACCCUGGGUAUUACAAUUAUUUUAUGGUGUUUAGUAUGUAAAUGUUUAUGUUCUGUUAGUUUAAUAUCUACUUGUGAUUGUGUGUCCUACUUCUGAGUCUUUAAUCGAUGAUUGAUUAAACUAUUAAUUGAUUCUUGCUAAUCUUUGUUCUCGAGUUUCCAACAGUCUACAUAUUUGAGUUAUUAUGUGUUCAUGUUCAUGUUCAUGUUCACAUGAACCUCAUAGUUAUUUUACUGAUAUGCAAUGACCUUUAUCCUUAUCUGUUUCAUCUCUGUAGUUUGUGAAUCUUGAAGUUGAGCUUAUUAUUUGAUAACCAUGACUGAAAUGAAUCUGAAGGUAUUUAAGUUCAUAUCCUAUGUCCUUUAACCUUAAGCAUAAACUCCCAGUGUUAUAUGUUUUCUUCUUUACUUAUGUUUGUUAAACUACUUCUGAGUUACCACUGUGGUCUUUUAUUUUGUCUAGUUGCUGUCACUUCUGUUGACCUAAUCUUGUUUGAAUUAAACUUUCUUAUCUUCUCCAGUAGUCUUACUGUACACAUUUGUUAAAAAUUAAUUUAUCCUUCCUCAUAACACAAACAUGAUCCUUCUUUACUUUGUUAUAAAAGACUGAUAACUUAGGCUGAACUUGAUUGUUUUCUUGAUUAGUUAACAUCUUCAACUACAUGCUCAAUCUUAAACUUACUUGGUAUCAUACCUACUGCCUCUAAUCUUUUAGGGUUAUCAUUGACCUUUGAAAACUGACAUGCAUUUUAUCUUUUAAGAUUGUCUUCCCUUAAAAAUAUCUAGUUACUCUGCUUUAACUAAGUGGUAACUUGUAAAAGGAGAAGCAUGAUCCUUUCCAUAUUUAUGUACUAACCUAGACUUAAGUUUUGAGUUAAACCUGUUCUAAUGCAAUAUCUUUCCUUUAUCUGCAACUCUCUCUCCUCAUGACAUGCUUAAUCUAAUUCUACAAAUGUGUAAAGUUUCCCCUAUCUACAUAAAUUAUUAUUGUAUUUGAAGUGUUCAAGUAACUAAUUGAAUACUGUAUGUUCCUGCUUAAUUUCUGAUCUUAUACCUUGUCCAGGAUCACUCCAGUCCUUUCUCUACUGUUAACUUUAAAACCAAAUCUGAUCCCUAAAAUCUCAUAAGGAUCUUUGUUGAUGCUAUAUGAACAUGAUGAUUUGUUUGAAGCUAACACUAUUAGGAGAAUGAUUUUGUAGGAACUAUUAGGAACUCAGCAGACCCAAACCAGCUUCGCAGUAUUUUCUGAAGAGUCCAGUCAGCUACAGCUGCUCCACUCCAUUGCUGGGCUUACCUUAUUGAGGCCCAACCAUCUGAGCCCAGUUCUUUCUCCCUUACUUCUUUCGUUGCUGCUCAUUAUUUCCAUAGCCUAGCUUACUGCUUCAUUAUUUUUCACUUAUUGGCUUUGUUGUUUUAUCAUAUUUCAUUAUUAUGUAUUCAACACUCAUAUAUUAGAUUAUAUAUUUUAUCCUCAUGCUUUACAC
RNAcentral lists this long non-coding RNA (20199 nucleotides) under Nicotiana tabacum (common tobacco). RNAcentral describes it as "long non-coding RNA (NTAB_LNC014235)". The record is from RNAcentral. Lineage: Eukaryota; Viridiplantae; Streptophyta; Magnoliopsida; Solanales; Solanaceae.